Molecule: ribosomal RNA, 1940 nt
Filed under: Campylobacter cuniculorum DSM 23162 = LMG 24588
Lineage: Bacteria; Pseudomonadati; Campylobacterota; Epsilonproteobacteria; Campylobacterales; Campylobacteraceae
Description: bacterial LSU rRNA
Rfam family: Bacterial large subunit ribosomal RNA
Source: RNAcentral
AAUAAAAAAGAUUUAAAAUAAAAAAGAUUUAAAAUUUGAAAAGUUUUAAAAAAUCAAAAAAAGUUUUAGAAAAUUUUUAGAAAGCUUGAAAUAAAAAUUCAAAGCUCAAAUGCUUGAUAAAGAAUUCAAUUUCAAAGGUUUUCAUCAGCUUUAAUCAUCAAAGCAAAAAUUGAUUGUUUAAAAAAGCUUUUAUGACAAAGAAUUAAAUCAAGCAGUUUAAGUUGUGUGCAAGUGGUAGGAGAGCGUUCUAUUAGCGUUGAAGGUAUACCGGUAAGGAGUGCUGGAGCGAAUAGAAGUGAGCAUGCAGGCAUGAGUAGCGAUAAUUAAUGUGAGAAUCAUUAACGCCGAAAACCCAAGGUUUCCUACGCGAUGCUCGUCAUCGUAGGGUUAGUCGGGUCCUAAGCCAAGUCCGAAAGGGGUAGGCGAUGGCAAAUUGGUUAAUAUUCCAAUACCAACAUUAGUGUGCGAUGGAAGGACGCUUAGAGCUAGGAGGGCUAGCGGAUGGAAGUGCUAGUCUAAGGAUGUGAGUGCUUAUACAGGCAAAUCCGUAUAAGAAUACACUGAGGUCUUAAAGGCUCUUCAAAGUCUUCGGAUAGCGAGGAGAACCUCUGAUGCUGUCGAGCCAAGAAAAGUUUCUAAGUUUAGCUAAUGUUGCCCGUACCAUAAACCGACACAGGUGGGUGGGAUGAGUAUUCUAAGGCGCGUGGAAGAACUCUCUUUAAGGAACUCUGCAAAAUAGCACCGUAUCUUCGGUAUAAGGUGUGGUUCGCUUCGUAUUAGAAUUCACUUCGAAAGCGAAGAAACUUACAACAAAGAGUCCCUCCCGACUGUUUACCAAAAACACAGCACUCUGCUAACUCGUAAGAGGAUGUAUAGGGUGUGACGCCUGCCCGGUGCUCGAAGGUUAAUUGAUGGGGUUAGCAUCAGCGAAGCUCUUGAUCGAAGCCCGAGUAAACGGCGGCCGUAACUAUAACGGUCCUAAGGUAGCGAAAUUCCUUGUCGGUUAAAUACCGACCUGCAUGAAUGGCGUAACGAGAUGGGAGCUGUCUCAAAGAGGGAUCCAGUGAAAUUGUAGUGGAGGUGAAAAUUCCUCCUACCCGCGGCAAGACGGAAAGACCCCGUGGACCUUUACUAUAGCUUGACACUGCUGCUUGGAUAAGAAUGUGCAGGAUAGGUGGGAGGCUUUGAAUAUAUGACGCUAGUUGUAUAGGAGCCAUUGUUGAGAUACCACUCUUUCUUAUUUGGGUAGCUAACCAGCUUGAGUUAUCCUCAAGUGGGACAAUGUCUGGUGGGUAGUUUGACUGGGGCGGUCGCCUCCCAAAUAAUAACGGAGGCUUACAAAGGUUGGCUCAGAACGGUUGGAAAUCGUUCACAGAGUAUAAAGGCAAAAGCCAGCUUAACUGCAAGAGACACAACUCGAGCAGGGACGAAAGUCGGUCUUAGUGAUCCGGUGAUUCUGUGUGGAAGGGUCAUCGCUCAAAGGAUAAAAGGUACCCCGGGGAUAACAGGCUGAUCUCCCCCAAGAGCUCACAUCGACGGGGAGGUUUGGCACCUCGAUGUCGGCUCAUCGCAUCCUGGGGCUGGAGCAGGUCCCAAGGGUAUGGCUGUUCGCCAUUUAAAGCGGUACGCGAGCUGGGUUCAGAACGUCGUGAGACAGUUCGGUCCCUAUCUGCCGUGGGCGUAAGAAGAUUGAAGAGCUUUGACCCUAGUACGAGAGGACCGGGUUGAACAAACCACUGGUGUAGCUGUUGUCCUGCCAAGGGCAUCGCAGCGUAGCUAAGUUUGGAAAGGAUAAACGCUGAAAGCAUCUAAGCGUGAAGCCAACUCUAAGAUGAAUCUUCUCUAAGUUCUGUGCAAGACUAGCACUUUGAUAGGCUGGGUGUGUAAGAGAUGAAAGUCUUUGAGCUGACCAGUACUAAUAGAACGUUUGGCUUAUCUUA